Long non-coding RNA from Amphiprion ocellaris (clown anemonefish), 5205 nucleotides. The record is from Ensembl. NCBI's taxonomy places the organism in Eukaryota, Metazoa, Chordata, Actinopteri, Pomacentridae.
UUUGAAAAAGGCUGUGUUUUAUUGAAAUACAGCAGACAUCAACAGGUUGUUUUGCUGACCUGGGCGACAGAAACAGAGCUCCAACACUUUUCAAACAGUGUUAAAACAAAGAUCGAUGGCUGUUCUUUUGUUAUUUAACUCCAAAGACGCCUUUUUUUGAACCCGUAGCCCAAAGCGCAGCCCGACUUUGGGCCGCAAGCUGAUCGAUGGUAGCGUCUCCGUUGUGUUGGGAACAAAAGCAAGCUGGUGCUCCAAAUCAAUUUUGGGUUCUGACUUCAGAAAAUGCUGGUAUGCAAAGUUAAAAAUUGAACACAGCUCGUCGAGUGCUGGAGGAUUUGACAGAGUGUCGGGGCCUGUUUCUGUGUCCAGGGCUGGUUGUUUGAUAGUAGCAGUAGUAGAAGAAGCAGAUCCUCCGUUAUGAAGCAGGGCUGGCCUCAACUCCCCGGAAAAAGACACUUAAAGCCCCUGGUUUCCCCAAAAAGUCAUUAGAAACCAUCAUCCUGCGUGAAGUUUGUUGGGACACUGAGACUUUUUAAAAAAAAAUACACAGAUAUGACAAGUAAAACCAAAAGAACUUGGACGCUAAAUAUUAGAAAUCUGUCUAAAACGUUUCGGUGUCGACGGCAGUUAUCCUGUUUUAUUUUACUUCUUUCCACAAAUGAGUUGAGUCAGUUUGAUUAGAAAAUGCAACAUGUUGCAGAAAGUUUCCAUUAAUUUCUGAGCCAUUUAAGAGAGAUUCAAUCUGGCAUGAAUGACCGAAGAGUCAGAACGAUUUAAAUUUCUGCAACACUUUCCCAAUAAUAAAAUAUUUCGGUGAGAGUCACGUCUUGAUUGUCUUUGAAAGAUCCUUCCUCAAGCUUCUUUAGUGACAUAGAAAGAAGUAAAAUGAACAAGAUAAGAGCUUUUACUAUUUUUCUUCUUGGUUCAAAUAUCUGACAAAAUUUUGAUUUUAAAACUGAACACAGCUGAAGGCUGAGGACGGAUAAAGACCCUUGAAGUUUACUUGACCACUAAGGAUGGAUCAGACAAGAAAUGCACUUUGAAGCAAAGGAUUUUGCAGCACAAAUGACCCUCUGUAGUUGCAGCUUUGGGGUCUAGAUAGAAAAGCAAGCAUUAGGGUUGUAAACAAAGGAUAAUUUCAGGCUAUGUCGCUAUUUCACAGAUAAUUUCUGAAGCUUUGACUGUAAAGAUUCUUUAAUUCUUGAUGCUGGAACUGACCAUGUCCAUAAUCAGAGCAAACUUCAGGGUACGCAGUGUUUCAGCCUCGUCUGUAGAAAAUCGUUACCUCGCUGGGUUUUAAAUCUAACCGCACAAAAGCUUGUUUUUUUGAGGAAUCCAGGUGCACACAAAGAUAAAUUUCAGCAUGAGCAAACAGAGGAAGUUUAAAAGAAACCAAAGGAAGGACUCAAGCACACCAGUCGUACUGUGCGUUUUAAUUUGUGUUGCUGUAGUGUGGAUAAAUCUUGAGGCUUUAAUUCCUCCCCCCCAAAAAUUGACUGAAAGGUCCUAAAGACUUGUUCUCCUUUUUUCCAUAGACAAACAAAAUUUUUUUUCUUACUUUUCCUUUAAUAGUUGUCAAGAAUGGUUUAUUUGCGGUUUCUUCUACUGUCUUUAAUGCAGCCAUGAGUAACGGAGCCUAAAGCACCACCUCCUGACGACAUUACGCAGCCUGGAAUUUUUGCUACGAAUAAGCCAAAGUCGCUAACAGGAACUAAUUUUUAAGGGUUUUUUUUUUUGCUGUUUUUCGUAACAUUUCAAAAGCUAACACUGAAACACGGCACUUACUUAUUGAGUCACUCAAUGUUUUUGCGAUCCAACAAACAGAAUUCUUCAGGUGAAUGCAAAGAGCUUUAACAGCUACUACUGAUCUUCCAGAGAAUUAAUUAUAGCACCAUUUUUUUUGUGUUUGUUUUUCUGUCCUUGGUUUACCAGCCUGCCACUAGUGUGCUCGAUUCUUUCCUCUUUCAACAUUCAGACAGUAAAAUCCACAGCACGGACUCCUCCCCCCUCUCCUCCCCUCAAAGCAAAUACAUUCAAUCAUUCAUCAGAAAAAUAUUCAAUUAAAACUAUACACUUGCAAAAAUAAAACUCUCUAGGAAGCUUUCUAAGGCUGUGCGUCCACCUGGAGGCGCUCUCUGCGGGGCCGGAGAGCUUUAACGAUGCUGAACGCUACAUGUUUAAAGACUUCAAGCAAAGAAAAAAAAAGCAUUUGUUUUUUUUUUUUUUUGUCUUUUUUAAAUCGACUCGCACCAGCAGCCGGAGCUUUGCAGGAAAACGUCUGACUGAAGUGGACGGAGUUGAGAAUCCCUCCCUCCCCUGCUGUUUGCUUGUUGAGGCCAGCCCUGGGAUGCAUUCGUAAAUACAGUAUUUCAGAUAUAUGUAGUCUUAUCAUCUUUAAAUCUGACCAGGACACUACAGCGGCAGAAGCAAUACAUAAAGAAGCUCAUAUUUUGUUUUUACUAUUAUUAUUUUUUGUCGGAAUGGAACUAGUUUCAACUAAGCCUACCAAGCCAACAUGUAGUUAUGUAUCGAAUAAAAGGCUAUUUCUCUUUUUUUGUUUGUUUUUGUUUAUUACAGGUGUGUAUGAUGGUGUGCAGGACGACAAAGAUAGAUAGAAAGAUAGAUAGAAAGAUAGAUAGAUAGAUAGAUAGAUAGAUAGAUAGAUAGAUAGAUAGAUAGAUAGAUAGAUAAAAACAAUCAAUGAAGAGAGAAGAAGUGGGGAAAAAGACAGAGGUGAAGAAAGGGUGGAAAGUAAGAGAGACGAAUAGAAGAAGCGUAAGAGAAACAGAGAGAAAGAGAUAAAAGUAUGAUUCAGGCAGCAUGAUUCUAGAUUUUUUACUGUCGAGUUUGUGUGUUUUGCAAGAUCGUUACCAUUGAAUCCUUCUGCGUUUGCCACCACGUUGACAGUUUCUUUUCUUUUCUUUUUUUUUUUGUUGUUAUUUGUUCCUCAUCGGUUUUUAAACAAAGAUCCACGACAGUCACUUGGUCAUACAAGCAUGUUCGUCGGAACAAGAAGUGCAGAUUGGCUUAAGUUUCUUUUUUUUAAGUUUUCUUUUGCUUUUCUUCAAAAAAGGGUUCCAGACAGAGUGGCUACAAUAAUAUUAAUAAUAUAAUAAUAAUAUAAUAAUAAUAUAAUAAUAGCACUUGACUUCACUUCAGCACAGUAAAAAAAGAAAAAAAAAGAAAAAAGGUCCAAAGGUGCUUUUUUUGUGUUUUGUUUUUUAAAUCUGAUUUGAUGUGAAGCGACGUCCCCCCUCUUCCUCCCCCUUUCUCCUCCCACCUCUCCUCUCCUCUCAGCGGGGAAGUGGCGGGCGGAAGUCCAGUGCCGGUGAGAUGAAGAAGAAGUGACUGAAGUAUUGCCAACUGGUCCGUCAUAUUUCUUUUUUUGUGUGUGUGUUUUUUCUGUAGUGGUUCCACUCCGUUUCAGUACAGAAAGAGGAGAGAUUGGUGAGGGGGGGGUUAAAAAUUAAAGUGAAUGCACACACGUAUGCCACUGCUGGCACCGUUUUUUUAAGUUGAAAAAGUCCAUCAAGAUGAGAAAAAAAAGAAAGGAAACAAAGGAGGGCGUUUCAGGGGGACGAGUUGCUCCCAUUUUACAAAAUGUAACAAAAGUUUUCUCGCAAAAUUUUACAAAUCUGUAGCAAUACAGGAAAACAAAACAAACAAAUAAACAAACAUAUAUAUCCUAUUUACAACAACAACAAGAAGAACCCUUUUUUUCAAAAGUGUAGUGAGAAUGCAGCAGAUCCCAGCUUUGGCACUCGGCGUUUGUGUUGGUUUUUUUUUUUUGUUUGUUUUUUUAUGUGUUUGUUUUAAAUCCACCCUGUCGGUCGGUCAGUCGGUGUGUACAGUCAGACUGCUGCUGCAGGCACACAUUCAGUGCUCCGGUUCACCUCCCUCCUCAUCGCGUCUCCGCGGCAACGCAGGUCACGCACAACAUCGCCUCAUCCGUCCGCCGAGUUCCCAGCCUCUUAAUCCCCCCCAACGCUGCCGCCCCCCGGGGUCACUUAAAGGGAAAGUUCAGGGAUUUACUUAAGGUAAAGUGCAGAUCCUGAACUGAGUUUGCUCUUAAAGGCAAACUUCAGGAUGAUUACAAGGAGUCUAACAAAACCAAAGCGAGGACAGCAUUUUAAAAGAUACAAAUCUGUCUGAUUAUAUUAUUAGGGAAUGUUGGAUCCUCUGUGUCGACUGUAAAUAUUCCUUUUAAAGGGAAGUUAUCUGGACAUUAACAUACAAAGUGCAGCUCAUGAGUCAAAGUUUCCAUCCAGCCGCUGCAGUUGUGUGCAUAUUAGUUUACCGGCUCGUGAAGAUAAACAGCCACUGGAGCCAAUUCUGCAUGCAAACGACUGUGUCAUGUAUUAAUGCGAGGAAUCUUUCUUUAAAAAAAAAAAAAUUGUCACUUUUUUUUCUCUCCAUGCACAUAAAAACAGGUGGAUGGAAACAUUCUAUUCAUAUUUGGGUGAGAUUAUUUGUGUUUACUUGACAGUCAGGAAGCAUGAGGAGAGAGGAGUUAAUGUGCCUUCAGCUACAGAGGCGUCCAUGGAAAUGUACUUUAAGAUACUAGCAAAGCCUCCGCUUACAUAGCAGGUGAAGGAUUUUAACAUUUCUCAUCACAAUGAGGCCAAAUAUGGAAGCCCAUUUGUGUCAAAAAAGUGAAACCCAAAAAAGUCUUAGUGAGUUAAAAUUAUGACAACUCAAAAUGAUCAGAGAAAAAGUAAAAAUUAUGACAUUUCAGGUCAAAAUUAUCAGUUAAAAAAAUCCUGAUCAUGAGAAAGAAAAUAACUAAAUAAAAAUCUGGACAAAUGAAAUCAAUAUUCUAAAGAGAUGGAAAGUCAAAACUUGACAUACGGGGUCAAAGUUACCUGUGAAAAAGUUGUACUUAUGACAAUAAUUUCAUCAAACCUUUUAAAGUCCAGCCUGUAAGAUAAAAAGACUUUUUUGUGAGUUGAGACGUCACAAAGUUGAGUGAAAAUUAGGAAUCAGGAUAUUGUAACUAUGAGACUGUCAAUAAUUUGAGAUAAACAGUCAAACACUGAAGCAAAACAUCUAAAUUUUAAAUUUGUAAAGUCACAUUUUUGAGUUGGCAAGUCAAAAUAUGAGAUAAAAAAAGGAGUAAACAGUACUACUAUGUACAUAGAAGUACCAGUAAAAGUAAUAACGUUAAAUUUUAAGUUCAAAAUCAAAAUUAGGUCAGUCAGAAUUACG